GCCUUUGGCCUUUCACGCUGACGGGUCAGACGAAACGCUAGGAGUUCUUUCAAUGUUUUUGCUAUGAACUUUAGUGGUUUCACAAAAUUAUUAAAGUUUAGUUGAGGAGAGGCGGCCGGGACCUGCUUACUUUCCUAAUUUUUAAAACUAAACCAGAAGCAAGAAGAAUUCGGGUCACGGCAGCAACGCGAAACAGGACGCACUCUUUUGAUGAGGAUAAGAGGUGAAAUUUGAGCCCACCACUUCCUGGAUGGUGGUCUGGUGCAGAGCUGCUCCGUGGACCCCUGUUACACUGGAGCUGCCACACUUUUAAAAACCAAUCUGUCUGUUGAAACUGCAAAUAAAAGAGACAGCAAUGCUUACCAUCAUUCUUCUGGAGCCCCUUCGACUCGAGCUCCAUUGCAGGUCCAGCUGAUUGUCGGGGGACGUUCUGUCAAAGCCUUAACACCUACGCCUGCAUACCCGAGCUAAACCCACUUACAGACUUCGCGCGGCUGACCGUCGGCUGAAUUCGGAUCUCCUUACAGAUGAUGCUGUCUGGACCGGCCGGCAGGGGGUGUCGCUUCACGCGGAUGAGCCCCCCCCAGGACCAUCUUCUUUUAAUAGCCCCGUUCAGGGUUCCGACAAAAAUGUUGUGACUCCUUGUGACGUGUUAUUGUUGAUUCAUUAUUUUUUUUAUGAAAUCUUGGAUGGGUGAUUUCUUUUCUAUUUAAUGAAGAAUGUCCCCCUUCCUACCCUAUGAUGGUUCUGUUCCCUGUCCUUGCUGCAAUCGGCACCAGCUCCUCUGGCCAGGAUAGAGCAAGUGUAGACGAUGGACGGAUGCUCCCUGUUCGUCUCAUACGUUCCCAUAUUCUCUCUGUGUCUUUUAUCGCAGUACUUUGAACUGGCAAAGAUGUUAUGGCUGGAGACACAAGCAAGUCAGACUUUUUUUUUUAGCUAUCCUUUGGAAGCAGUAACAUCACCGCACACAUAAACUCUUAUUUUAGAUUUAUUUUUGAUAUCUCCCGAUGUAGACUGCACUUAAUCUAUCCAUUCUGAAGCUUUAAAAGUGGAUUUUUUCAGGGACGUCUUGUUUUGCUUAUUUUUAUCAAAUACCUUUGAAGUCACUAUUGAACUGUUUUAAUAACAAUAAUAGCAGAUAUAAAUAUUACAGUUUUAUACAUUGAAUGUAUACAACCAUUCCAUGUAAAUA
Long non-coding RNA from Polypterus senegalus (gray bichir), 1192 nucleotides. RefSeq lists it as uncharacterized. NCBI's taxonomy places the organism in Eukaryota, Metazoa, Chordata, Cladistia, Polypteriformes, Polypteridae. The transcript is spliced from 3 exons. The record is from RefSeq and is a predicted model, not a curated record.